This 253-nucleotide ribosomal RNA is filed under the name uncultured bacterium. RNAcentral describes it as "partial 16S ribosomal RNA". It matches the Rfam family "Bacterial small subunit ribosomal RNA", at positions 524 to 776 of the family's 1533-position model. The record is from RNAcentral.
UACGGGGGGAGCAAGCGUUGUUCGGAUUUACUGGGCGUAAAGGGCGCGUAGGCGGUCAGCACAAGUCAGUUGUGAAAUCUCCGGGCUUAACUCGAAAGGUCAACUGAUACUGUGCGACUAGAGUGCAGAAGGGGCAACUGGAAUUCUCGGUGUAGCGGUGAAAUGCGUAGAUAUCGAGAGGAACACCUGCGGCGAAGGCGGGUUGCUGGGCUGACACUGACGCUGAUGCGCGAAAGCCAGGGGAGCGAACGGG